RNAcentral lists this ribosomal RNA (265 nucleotides) under uncultured bacterium. Its description in RNAcentral is "partial 16S ribosomal RNA". It matches the Rfam family "Bacterial small subunit ribosomal RNA", at positions 57 to 305 of the family's 1533-position model. The record is from RNAcentral.
GCAAGUCGAGCGAGACGGUUAUGAUUGAUCCUUCGGGUGAGAGAUUAACUAGAAAGCGGCGGACGGGUGAGUAACGCGUGAGUAACCUGCCCCAUACACAGGGAUAGCCAUUGGAAACGAUGAUUAAUACCUGAUAAUACUAAGAAAGCACAUGCUUUUGUAGUCAAAGAUUUAUCGGUAUGGGAUGGACUCGCGUCUGAUUAGCUAGUUGGUAAGGUAACGGCUUACCAAGGCGACGAUCAGUAGCCGACCUGAGAGGGUGAUC